Molecule: ribosomal RNA, 325 nt
Filed under: uncultured Geobacter sp.
Lineage: Bacteria; Pseudomonadati; Thermodesulfobacteriota; Desulfuromonadia; Geobacterales; Geobacteraceae
Description: bacterial SSU rRNA
Rfam family: Bacterial small subunit ribosomal RNA
Source: RNAcentral
GCCAGCAGCCGCGGUAAUACGGAGGGUGCAAGCGUUGUUCGGAUUUAUUGGGCGUAAAGCGCGUGUAGGCGGUUUCUUAAGUCUGAUGUGAAAGCCCUGGGCUCAACCCAGGAAGUGCAUUGGAUACUGGGAGACUUGAAUACGGGAGAGGGUAGUGGAAUUCCUAGUGUAGGAGUGAAAUCCGUAGAUAUUAGGAGGAACACCGGUGGCGAAGGCGGCUACCUGGACCGAUAUUGACGCUGAGACGCGAAAGCGUGGGGAGCAAACAGGAUUAGAUACCCUGGUAGUCCACGCCGUAAACGAUGAGAACUAGGUGUUGCGGGUA